RNAcentral lists this unclassified non-coding RNA (110 nucleotides) under Homo sapiens (human). RNAcentral's name for it is "major histocompatibility complex, class I, F (ENSG00000234487.11)". Lineage: Eukaryota; Metazoa; Chordata; Mammalia; Primates; Hominidae. The record is from RNAcentral.
UCCCCAGCCCACCAUCCCCAUCGUGGGCAUCGUUGCUGGCCUUGUUGUCCUUGGAGCUGUGGUCACUGGAGCUGUGGUCGCUGCUGUGAUGUGGAGGAAGAAGAGCUCAG